GAUGAACGCUAGCGGGAGGCUUAACACAUGCAAGUCGAGGGGCAGCAUAGGGUAGCAAUACUCUGAUGGCGACCGGCAAACGGGUGAGUAACGCGUAUGCAACCUACCCUGUACAGGGGGAUAACCCGGAGAAAUUCGGACUAAUAUCCCGUAAUAAUAUCCGGAGGCAUCUUUGGAUAUUUAAAGUUCCGACGGUACGGGAUGGGCAUGCGUAACAUUAACUGGUUGGUAAGGUAACGGCUUACCAAGGCUAUGAUGUUUAGGGGUCCUGAGAGGGUGGUCCCCCACACUGGUACUGAGACACGGACCAGACUCCUACGGGAGGCAGCAGUGAGGAAUAUUGGUCAAUGGGGCGCAAGCCUGAACCAGCCAUCCCGCGUGCAGGAAGACGGCCCUAUGGGUUGUAAACUGCUUUUCCAGGGAGAGAAACUUACGCACGUGUUGCGUGACUGACGGUACCCUGGGAAUAAGCAUCGGCUAACUCCGUG
RNAcentral lists this ribosomal RNA (488 nucleotides) under uncultured bacterium. RNAcentral describes it as "bacterial SSU rRNA". It matches the Rfam family "Bacterial small subunit ribosomal RNA", at positions 28 to 507 of the family's 1533-position model. The record is from RNAcentral.